GACGAACGCUGGCGGCGUGCUUAACACAUGCAAGUCGAACGGAAAGGCCCUGCUUUUGUGGGGUGCUCGAGUGGCGAACGGGUGAGUAACAAGUGAGUAACCUGCCCUUGACUUUGGGAUAACUUCAGGAAACUGGGGCUAAUACCGGAUAGGAGCUCCUGCUGCAUGGUGGGGGUUGGAAAGUUUCGGCGGUUGGGGAUGGACUCGCGGCUUAUCAGCUUGUUGGUGGGGUAGUGGCUUACCAAGGCUUUGACGGGUAGCCGGCCUGAGAGGGUGACCGGCGACAUGGGGACUGAGAUACGGACCAGACUCCUACGGGAGGCAGCAGUGGGGAGUAUUGCACAAUGGGCGGAAGCCUGAUGCAGCAACGCCGCGUGCGGGAUGACGGCCUUCGGGUUGUAAACCGCUUUAGCCUGUGACGAAGCGUGAGUGACGGUAAUGGGUAAAGAAGCACCGGCUAACUACGUG
RNAcentral lists this ribosomal RNA (468 nucleotides) under uncultured bacterium. Its description in RNAcentral is "partial 16S ribosomal RNA". It matches the Rfam family "Bacterial small subunit ribosomal RNA", at positions 28 to 507 of the family's 1533-position model. The record is from RNAcentral.